CCUACGGGAGGCAGCAGUGAGGAAUAUUGGUCAAUGGGCGCGAGCCUGAACCAGCCAAGUCGCGUGAGGGAAGACGGUCCUAUGGAUUGUAAACCUCUUUUGCCGGGGAGCAAAAGACGCCACGCGUGGCGUUCCGAGAGUACCCGAAGAAAAAGCAUCGGCCAACUCCGUGCCAGCAGCCGCGGUAAUACGGAGGAUGCGAGCGUUAUCCGGAUUUAUUGGGUUUAAAGGGUGCGCAGGCGGAAGAUGAAGUCAGCGGUAAAAUUGAGGGGCCCAACCCCUUCGAGCCGUUGAAACUGGUUGUCUUGAGUGGACGAGAAGGAUGAGGAAUGUGUGGUGUAGCGGUGAAAUGCAUAGAUAUCACGCAGAACACCGAUGGCGAAGGCAGCAUGCCGGCGCUCGACUGACGCUCAUGCACGAAAGUGUGGGGAUCGAACAGGAUUAGAUACCCUAGUAGUC
RNAcentral lists this ribosomal RNA (459 nucleotides) under uncultured bacterium. RNAcentral describes it as "partial 16S ribosomal RNA". It matches the Rfam family "Bacterial small subunit ribosomal RNA", at positions 338 to 795 of the family's 1533-position model. The record is from RNAcentral.